This 376-nucleotide ribosomal RNA is filed under the name Bombus morio. RNAcentral's name for it is "partial 16S ribosomal RNA". The stretch from base 247 to 376 matches the Rfam family "Archaeal large subunit ribosomal RNA", at positions 2542 to 2672 of the family's 2987-position model. Lineage: Eukaryota; Metazoa; Arthropoda; Insecta; Hymenoptera; Apidae. The record is from RNAcentral.
GAGAUAUAUACUGUCUCAUAUAUAUAAAAUGAAUUUAAAUUUUUAGUAAAAAUGCUUAAAUAAUUUUAUGGGACGAUAAGACCCUAUAGAAUUUUAUAUUAAAAUUUUAUUAAUUAUUUAGUUAAAAUUUUAAUAUUUAGUUGGGAGGAUUAGUAAAUAAAAUUAACUUUAUUUUAAAAAUAAACUUUGAUUUAAGAAUAAAGUUUUGAUCUUAUAUUAUAAAUUAAAAGAAUAAAUUACCUUAGGGAUAACAGCGUAAUAUCUUUUUAAAGAUCAUAUUAAUAAAGAUGUUUGCGACCUCGAUGUUGAAUUAAGAUAAAUUUUAAAUGAAGAAAUUUAAAAAUUAAGUCUGUUCGACUUUUAAAAUCUUACAUGA